This 471-nucleotide long non-coding RNA is filed under the name Calidris pugnax (ruff). RNAcentral's name for it is "lncRNA (ENSCPUG00000002014.1)". Lineage: Eukaryota; Metazoa; Chordata; Aves; Charadriiformes; Scolopacidae. The record is from RNAcentral.
UGCAACUUCUAAAUCCUGCCCGCACUUCCUCUCGAGGGAACAACAGCUAAACCGCUGAAUGUCCCUCAGUCAAGAGCAUUGGACUGAGCGACGGGGUAGUGUCACUGCUCUGGCUGCAGCCACCAAGGCUCAUGAUGCUCUAAGUGGAGAGAAAGUCCUCCUGGAACCUGACAUGAAGAAGUCCUGCUACGCUGCUGCACGGCCAUCGUCAUGAAAAGCAACAAGAAUGGUAACAUGCUACAGAGCAAGAAGCAAUGAGAAGCCUGUGAGGUAAACCUUUUUAAUUGUGUUAUGUGCAGAGUUAGUAUAAGAAACAUCAAUGAAUUUUCUUUGGAGGUACCUGCUUAUAGCUGAUAUGUAAAAUCUAUGCUUUUCAUUUAUGUACUUCUACCUUUACACUAUAUGUGUCUCAAUUCUUCAAAGCUUUGUUUUAUGGAAAUGUCAGUUCUCCCAUUUUAGACUAAAACUGGG